RNAcentral lists this ribosomal RNA (354 nucleotides) under Triticum aestivum (bread wheat). RNAcentral describes it as "partial small subunit ribosomal RNA". The record is from RNAcentral. Lineage: Eukaryota; Viridiplantae; Streptophyta; Magnoliopsida; Poales; Poaceae.
AUGCAGAUCACCAUCACGAGUACAAAGGAGAAAACCCAAGACAUCCAAGCCAAUGAGGAACUAGAGACUGUUAUACCUGGCAAAGAAACAGUCGAUGCAGGCACAAAUAACCCAGUCAUCAACACAGAGGAAACAAACAAGUACAUUGAUCUGGAAGAUCAAGAAGCAGUGCAACCAAAGGAAACUAGAAAACACACAGAACUUCAAACAACAACAUCUGAAGAGGAAGAGGAAGCAAGCAAAAGAACUCGCAUAAACAUUGAACAAGAAAAAGUAGAGGACAUAACGAGACAAGGAGAAGCCGUAGUUCCAGCAGGAGACAGUCCUGCAAAUCCAGAGAAAGAGGCACAAUAA